GGUUUUCGGAUCGUAAAACUCUGUUGUUAGGGAAGAACAAGUAUCGGAGUAACUGCCGGUACCUUGACGGUACCUAACCAGAAAGCCACGGCUAACUACGUGCCAGCAGCCGCGGUAAUACGUAGGUGGCAAGCGUUGUCCGGAAUUAUUGGGCGUAAAGCGCGCGCAGGCGGUCCUUUAAGUCUGAUGUGAAAGCCCACGGCUCAACCGUGGAGGGUCAUUGGAAACUGGGGGACUUGAGUGCAGAAGAGGAGAGUGGAAUUCCACGUGUAGCGGUGAAAUGCGUAGAGAUGUGGAGGAACACCAGUGGCGAAGGCGACUCUCUGGUCUGUAACUGACGCUGAGGCGCGAAAGCGUGGGGAGCGAACAGGAUUAGAUACCCUGGUAGUCCACGCCGUAAACGAUGAGUGCUAAGUGUUAGAGGGUUUCCGCCCUUUAGUGCUGCAGCAAACGCAUUAAGCACUCCGCCUGGGGAGUACGGCCGCAAGGCUGAAACUCAAAGGAAUUGACGGGGGCCCGCACAAGCGGUGGAGCAUGUGGUUUAAUUCGAAGCAACGCGAAGAACCUUACCAGGUCUUGACAUCCUCUGACAACCCUAGAGAUAGGGCGUUCCCCUUCGGGGGACAGAGUGACAGGUGGUGCAUGGUUGUCGUCAGCUCGUGUCGUGAGAUGUUGGGUUAAGUCCCGCAACGAGCGCAACCCUUGA
RNAcentral lists this ribosomal RNA (706 nucleotides) under uncultured Bacillus sp. Its description in RNAcentral is "bacterial SSU rRNA". It matches the Rfam family "Bacterial small subunit ribosomal RNA", at positions 413 to 1108 of the family's 1533-position model. The record is from RNAcentral. Lineage: Bacteria; Bacillati; Bacillota; Bacilli; Caryophanales; Bacillaceae.